GUGCCAGCCGCCGCGGUAAUACGGAGGGUGCGAGCGUUUAUCGGAAUUACUGGGCGUAAAGCGCGCGUAGGCGGCUUGUUAAGUCGGAUGUGAAAUCCCCGGGCUCAACCUGGGAACUGCAUCCGAUACUGGCGAGCUGGAGUGCGAUAGAGGGGGGUAGAAUUCCUAGUGUAGCGGUGAAAUGCGUAGAUAUUAGGAGGAAUACCGGUGGCGAAGGCGGCCCCCUGGAUCGACACUGACGCUGAGGUGCGAAAGCGUGGGUAGCAAACAGGAUUAGAAACCCUCGUAGUCC
RNAcentral lists this ribosomal RNA (292 nucleotides) under uncultured bacterium. RNAcentral's name for it is "partial 16S ribosomal RNA". It matches the Rfam family "Bacterial small subunit ribosomal RNA", at positions 505 to 796 of the family's 1533-position model. The record is from RNAcentral.